This 440-nucleotide ribosomal RNA is filed under the name uncultured bacterium. RNAcentral describes it as "bacterial SSU rRNA". It matches the Rfam family "Bacterial small subunit ribosomal RNA", at positions 355 to 787 of the family's 1533-position model. The record is from RNAcentral.
UGGGGAAUAUUGGACAAUGGGCGAAAGCCUGAUCCAGCGACGCCGCGUGGGUGAAGAAGGCCUGCGGGUUGUAAAGCCCUUUCGGUAGGGACGAAAACCUUCGACUUAACACGUCGAGGGAUUGACUUAACCUACAUAAGAAGCACCGGCUAACUCUGUGCCAGCAGCCGCGGUAAUACAGAGGGUGCGAGCGUUAAUCGGAAUUACUGGGCGUAAAGCGCACGUAGGCGGCGACCCAAGUCAGAUGUGAAAGUCCUGGGCUUAACCUGGGGACUGCAUUUGAUACUGGGUUGCUUGAAUUCGGGAGAGGAUAGCGGAAUUCCCAGUGUAGAGGUGAAAUUCGUAGAUAUUGGGAAGAACACCGGUGGCGAAGGCGGCUAUCUGGACCGACAUUGACGCUGAGGCGCGAAAGCGUGGGGAGCAAACAGGAUUAGAUACCC